GCCGCGGUAGUAUAGCCCGGUCAUGGUUUGCGCCGAGAGUAUGCGGGCCUUUCGAGCCCGUGACCCGGGUUCAAAUCCCGGCCGCGGCA
RNAcentral lists this transfer RNA (89 nucleotides) under Metallosphaera cuprina Ar-4. RNAcentral's name for it is "tRNA-Glu". It matches the Rfam family "tRNA". Rfam says of the family: Transfer RNA (tRNA) molecules are approximately 80 nucleotides in length. Their secondary structure includes four short double-helical elements and three loops (D, anti-codon, and T loops). Lineage: Archaea; Thermoproteati; Thermoproteota; Thermoprotei; Sulfolobales; Sulfolobaceae. The record is from RNAcentral. RNAcentral also lists the same sequence under 1 other name.